Long non-coding RNA from Poecilia latipinna (sailfin molly), 204 nucleotides. RefSeq lists it as uncharacterized. Lineage: Eukaryota; Metazoa; Chordata; Actinopteri; Cyprinodontiformes; Poeciliidae. The record is from RefSeq and is a predicted model, not a curated record. The transcript is spliced from 2 exons.
CUCUGUAUGCUGUGUGGGAGCGUUUCAACCGUUUUAUAGUAGAAACUGGAUUCAUUGGCAUUACCUUUCACAGCCUGUGUCUACGAGGACGUCUCGGAAGUCACUGGACUGCUCCCAGUUUGACCAGCAAGCUGAACCCUGCCUGUGGCCAGUGUUCCCAGUAUAAUAUACAUAAAUAAAUCUGUGUUUUAUUGCACACUUUUA